UACGGGGGGGGCAAGCGUUGUUCGGAUUUACUGGGCGUAAAGGGCUCGUAGGCGGCCAACUAAGUCAGACGUGAAAUCCCUCGGCUUAACUGGGGAACUGCGUCUGAGACUGGCAAGCUUGAGUGCAGGAGAGGAACGCGGAAUUCCAGGUGUAGCGGUGAAAUGCGUAGAUAUCUGGAGGAACACCGGUGGCGAAGGCGGCAUCCUGGACCAACACUGACGCUGAGUGAGCGAAAGCCAGGGGAGCAAACGGG
Molecule: ribosomal RNA, 254 nt
Filed under: uncultured bacterium
Lineage: Bacteria
Description: partial 16S ribosomal RNA
Rfam family: Bacterial small subunit ribosomal RNA
Source: RNAcentral